GUGGCGACUCUGGACAGCACGCAACUGUAUUUGGUAGUGUGUUGUCUGGAGGAAUGUUUUUUGCACAGUCUCUCCCAUUCCCAGUCAGUGACACUCGCAGAUAAAAGUGGGCCCCUGAAAAGCCCACGCGCUGCGCUGCUUUGAAUGCAAGCACCCUCACUUUGAUUAGAACGAGUUCUGCCUGAGGACUUGGUUAUCAACCUUGAUUAAUGGAGACUUAAAUGUCCGUCUGUGGUUGAGAUAUUUGGCUUUCUACACACGGAGCUAUUCGUGACCCAAGAUGGGAGGGUUGGAUUAAAGCAGGCCCAGAGGAGAGCACUCGAAGAGCAGUAUGCGGCCAACCGGCCGGCCAAGGCGGGCCCGGCGAUUGCCGUGAGUGCGCCCCCUGCAGCGACCCCGAAGAAAGCGGCCAAACCUCCAGCACCGGCUCCAAAGAAGAUCCCAGAGGCCGUUCCCAUUGCUGUUCCCAUCGCCGUGCCCAUCGCCGUGCCCGUUGUGGAGACGCCCAAAGUCGAACCCAAGCCAGUUGUGGAGGAACCCGUCGCACUGCCCGUCCCAGUCAAAGAAGAGGCACCAGAGCCCGAGGCUGUGGUGGCGGCAGUGGAACAGACUCCGGCAGAAGUGGAGGUUGAAGUCCCAGCGCCCGUCGCCGAAGAAGCGCCGGUCGUCGCCGAGACGCCACCGGUGGCGCCUUCUGAAGUUGAAGCGCCGGUCGCCGUCGAGACCCUGUCGCCUUCUGAAGUUGAAGCUGCCGUAGAACCCGAGGCUGAGCCCGUCAUUCCUGAAACAGAACCAGUAGCUGAGGUUACACCCCCGGCUGAGGCUCCAGUGGCUGCUCCCGCUGAGACUGAGGUUACUACGCUCGCCGCCGAGGCUCCGGCAGCAGCUCCUUCGGAGGCGGAGGUUGAGUCGGUUGAAGCUACAAUCGUGCCCACGGAGACGGAACCAACCGAGGCCAAACAGACGCAUGAUGUCUGCGAGCCAGAGACUCGGGUGGAGGCCGCGGCCUCGGCAGAGGAGGACACAGUCGCUGCCGUGGGAGCGGUCGCCGCGGUCGAAGAGGUCGCCGCGGUCGACCAACAGUCUGCCGAGGCGGAACCUGCUGCAGCCGAGGAGGUCGCGACGGCGGAGGAGAAGAUCGCCGAGACCGAACAGGCGACUGAAGCCGGCGUCAGUCCUGCAGCCGAGGAGGAAGCUGAAGUAGAAGUGUUGGCGGAAGAAGACGCACCAGCGGUCCCCGCUGAGCCGGUUACAAUCGCAGAGACUGUUCCUGUCCAAUCUGUGGAAAUCCCAGAGGUGCCAGCCUCCAUCCCCGAGGCGCCGGUAGAAGAAACUCCCGUGGCUGAAGUAACGGAGGCGCCCGUCCCCCAGGAUGUCGCCGACGUGGUGGUCGACGACUUCGUCGUCACGGAGUCCGUGUCAGCAGUGGAGGACGCCAUUGCCGAGUCUGUCGCCGACAAAGAGGUUCUGACAGUUGAUGCUACAGUCGUAACCGCGGAGACCGAACAGGAAAUCGUGGUCACGAGCGACGCCCCCAGCGCCCCGACAGAGUCCGUGGAUGCGACCCCCGCUGAGCCCGAGCCCGCCGCUGCCCCUGCGUUGGACACGGUCAUUGAUGCUGCUGUGGAUCAGAAAUGUCUGACCGUGCUGUCAGAGGAACCAAAGCCAGAAAUCCGUGACCUGCCGUGUCAGAUGCAGCUCGCCGUCGAGUCCAUGCAACUCAACUCAAUGGAGACGCCAGUGGAGACGGCGUUGAAUGGACACAUGGUUCCAGAGGUCUCCAUUGAGGGUUAG
This 1794-nucleotide long non-coding RNA is filed under the name Scophthalmus maximus (turbot). RNAcentral describes it as "lncRNA (ENSSMAG00000028873.1)". The record is from RNAcentral. Lineage: Eukaryota; Metazoa; Chordata; Actinopteri; Pleuronectiformes; Scophthalmidae.